AAAAAAAAAAAAUUUCUUCCACAUAUAUUUUUACAACGGAGAAGCAAUAUGACUCAAGUUUCAGCUGUCUGUGAGUCCAGUACAAAAUAUGUUAAAAAACACCAUCUUUAAAAAAUGGGAAAAGAAAACCAGUUCAGGAUCGGGAUGGCUUUCCUGUCAAGUUUAAUAAAAAAAGCCAAGAAGAAAGCCCUCAUAGAAAGAUGGGUUUCAACCUUUACCUUACGAUGAUGCUUAUUUUUU
RNAcentral lists this unclassified non-coding RNA (240 nucleotides) under Hevea brasiliensis (rubber tree). Lineage: Eukaryota; Viridiplantae; Streptophyta; Magnoliopsida; Malpighiales; Euphorbiaceae. The record is from RNAcentral.